CCAGUUAAAAUUCCUCACAGCAGUUAGUCAGUGUUCUAUCAGCAGUCGUCGUAUUCAGACCAAAUUGGUCUAAAAUUCGUUCGGUGUAGUCGCCUAAAAUCAUGUUUCCUACUUUUGGCCUCGGGGUUCCGGCGAAGGCUGCAGCGAGAGCUCCCAAAUAACAUGCAGCCACGUAAAAUGUGAAAAAAAAUAAUACAAGACCCCCACCAAAAUAAAAAAUAAUAGAGAAGAAUCGACAUGACCGAACACAGAAUGCGAAAUCUUCAUCCGCUUGACCUGCAGCGAGUUACACUCAAAUAGAGACACGGUCACACCGAAGACACCGUCACAAGCCGUGGGUCACACUAAAUAUGGCAUAAACCGAAAACAGGAACCAAAUCCUCAGUGAUAACUCUCGAAAACACAAAUAAACUAACCUCAAAAUUGUUUAAAAUCAAAAGUAUACACCAACUACUGUACAAAUACAUGGAGAGUGAAGAGGAAAA
Molecule: small RNA, 485 nt
Filed under: Drosophila ananassae
Lineage: Eukaryota; Metazoa; Arthropoda; Insecta; Diptera; Drosophilidae
Description: GF27410
Source: RNAcentral